GAAAUGCGAUAAGUAGUGUGAAUUGCAGAAUUCAGUGAAUCAUCGAAUCUUUGAACGCACAUUGCGCCCUUUGGUAUUCCUUAGGGCAUGCCUGUUCGAGCGUCAUCUAAACCCUCAAGCCCUGCUUGGUGUUGGGUGCCUGUCCCGCCCCCGUGCGCGGACUCACCUCAAAUCCAUUGGCGGCCCUCGUGCCGGCCCCGAGCGCAGCAGUAACGCGGUCUCGUGGCCCGGCGGAGCGUGCCCCCAGAAGCAACAUUCACCGUUUUGACCUCGGAUCAGGUAGGGAUACCCGCUGAACUUAAGC
RNAcentral lists this unclassified non-coding RNA (304 nucleotides) under plant metagenome. Its description in RNAcentral is "partial contains 5.8S ribosomal RNA, internal transcribed spacer 2, and large subunit ribosomal RNA". The stretch from base 1 to 105 matches the Rfam family "5.8S ribosomal RNA", at positions 50 to 154 of the family's 154-position model. The record is from RNAcentral.